AAACCGGAGCUAAUACCGGAUAAUAUUUCGAACUGCAUGGUUCGAUAGUGAAAGAUGGCUUUGCUAUCACUUAUAGAUGGACCUGCGCCGUAUUAGCUAGUUGGUAAGGUAACGGCUUACCAAGGCAACGAUACGUAGCCGACCUGAGAGGGUGAUCGGCCACACUGGAACUGAGACACGGUCCAGACUCCUACGGGAGGCAGCAGUAGGGAAUCUUCCGCAAUGGCGAAAGCCUGACGGAGCAACGCCGCGUGAGUGAUGAAGGUCUUCGGAUCGUAAAACUCUGUUAUUAGGGAAGAACAAACGUGUAAGUAACUGUGCACGUCUUGACGGUACCUAAUCAGAAAGCCACGGCUAACUACGUG
This 365-nucleotide ribosomal RNA is filed under the name uncultured bacterium. RNAcentral describes it as "bacterial SSU rRNA". It matches the Rfam family "Bacterial small subunit ribosomal RNA", at positions 154 to 507 of the family's 1533-position model. The record is from RNAcentral.